GGAUGUGAGAGCAGUCUGGCUGGGAUAUCCGUCACCCCACUGGCUAGGCAUUGUCCCCUUCCUCCCUCUCUCCUCCAUGCAUGUCCCUCCUGAAGCUGCGUGUUCCCCUAGGUCAAAGAGGAUGACCUUCCCUUACACGGGAGGACCCAUCUUUGGUCAGGGUAUAUGAGCAGCUGUGCUCCCUACUCAAACCACCCAACCAGCUCUCAAGGUCCAUUUGUCCGAGAACGUGAGGCAGUCAUGCUUUCAAGACUCCAGACACAUCCGAAUGAGGCACUAUAUGUGGCCGUCUGCCUUUCUUU
Vicugna pacos (alpaca) is the source of this 302-nucleotide unclassified non-coding RNA. Its record names the gene 7SK. It matches the Rfam family "7SK RNA". Rfam says of the family: 7SK was discovered as an abundant small nuclear RNA in the mid-70s but a possible function has only recently been suggested. Two independent studies have found that 7SK RNA binds the CDK9/cyclin T complex (known as elongation factor P-TEFb). The record is from Ensembl. Lineage: Eukaryota; Metazoa; Chordata; Mammalia; Artiodactyla; Camelidae.